ACGCUCGACACCUACGGGAGACAGCAGGUGGGGAAUAUUGCACAAUGGGGGAAACCCUGAUGCAGCAACGCCGCGUGAAGGAAGACGGUUUUCGGAUUGUAAACUUCUGUUCUUAGUGAAGAUAGUGACGGUAGCUAAGGAGCAAGCCACGGCUAACUACGUGCCAGUAGCCGCGGUAAUCUGAGCGGGCUGGCAAGGC
Molecule: ribosomal RNA, 199 nt
Filed under: uncultured bacterium
Lineage: Bacteria
Description: partial 16S ribosomal RNA
Rfam family: Bacterial small subunit ribosomal RNA
Source: RNAcentral